Molecule: long non-coding RNA, 1618 nt
Organism: Haplochromis burtoni (Burton's mouthbrooder)
Lineage: Eukaryota; Metazoa; Chordata; Actinopteri; Cichliformes; Cichlidae
Exons: 3
Source: RefSeq, a predicted model, not a curated record
GGAAACAGAAAGAAAUAACUUGUGGCUGCAGUUGCAAAUUCCAUCAUUUGGACAGAGGUGGAAGUUUGUAAAAGUUGUGGGCUAAUGGUAGAAGUUGGGACUCCGCGCAGAAGGCGGAUGGGAACUCACGGACAGCAGGAUUUGGACUUCUUAUCGAACCGAACCUGUUUGUUUCGCACUUCUGCUGGAUUUGCGAUCAACACGUCCGGAUAGGGAUUUCUGUCGCACACCGACACGUUGUUCUGGACUCGAGAAGAACAAAAGAGAGUACAACAGAAAUAUAAACCGAUCUGCGUGAAGUAAGGGAGUCGCAUAAUCGCCGUGACUGCCGUUCUUUAACGUCAAAACACAGAGAAACUGCCGCAUCGAAACGCCCUUUGCGUGCGCAGCGUUCUGCACAUGGAGCCUAUGGGAACAAGUGCCACAACAACAACAACAACAACAAAACUAGAUAUACAGUCCGGUGUCUGCUUCAAACCCGAGGCGUACAGGAGGUUAGAUGUAAAUCUGCACCAUCACAGAAACAUCCUCACUCAGAAAUGGCAGUAGUCAGGACCUUCUGCUGCACUUCUGCUGCUCCCUAAUAGAAAGCCUAUUGAGGCCCAAUCAGCAGGUCUGUUCCAGCCUUGUAAGUGGAUUUCUCCCAUACCCCCAAGGGCUGCAAUUGUUCCAGCGGGCAUGGAUGCAUCCCCAUAUGAAGAAUGGAAAGAGGUAAAUAUCACUUAUCCCCCAACAGGUCGAAAUGAAACAGCAGCAGCUGGCAGAGAGCUGCUGAAAAUAUUGAGUUUAGUCUGAAAUUUAUCACUAAACGUAAGCCUCACUGUCUCUCAAACGCUAUACACUUUACUGUGUAAUAAGGGUCUAUGUGAAAUUAUUUAAUGUGCGAACAGUGUUGUCAAACGUGCCAUUCGCGAGAUCUAUUUUUCACAUCUCUCAGCCGGGUUGCCAUUGUCUCGUUUAAUCCGGUUAUAUCGUGUACAGAUUUUCACAUACAUUGAGUUUUUUUGUUGUUUCUUUUUCUUUCUUUCUUUUUUACCUUGCUGCUUUAAAAGACAAAUGGGAACAGAUGUGACUCUGAGCAGGGACGUUUUGAACAGAUUUGCUUCUUAUGUCAGAGGAGAAAUGGCAUUGUUUUCCGUUGCGUUACAACCUGGUGCCAUUUAUUAAAUAAAAGUGGGGAUCCGUUAUGAGGUGGAAUUUUAUGCCUCUGUCUGAAAUGCGAUCAUUGCAUCAAAGCACAGCCAUAAAUUUCUUUUUGAUAUAAUUGUAUUAAUGCAGCAAGUAAUGGAUGAGCAUAUGUUUCACAGUGAUUACUAUCCCUCUCUGACUGUGUGUCCUAGUUGCCUUCCCAUCGCCUGACUAUCGGAAUGAGAAUAUGUGCCUUGAGUUAAUGCUGAUUGCAGCAGCUGCCAACACAUGAAUCUCCAUGGCAACAAUAACGGUUGCCAGGCAACCAUGCUCUUUUAGGGACACUGAAAGAAGCCCAAAGGCGUACUAAAAAUAUAUAUAUGGGUAUAGUGCUUCUUGAACACCUCAGCCGUAUGCACGCCAUGCACAGAACAACAAAGAGUUAAACGCUUAAGAUGGCGACGUGUUAUUUUCUCCUCUUCAGCCGCAG